GAUAAACGCUGGCGGCGUGCAUGAGACAUGCAAGUCGAACGGACGAUCGGGGCUUGCUCCGAUAGUUAGUGGCGGACGGCUGAGUAACGCGUAGGUGACCUGCCCCGAAGUGGGGAAUAACUGCCCGAAAGGGUGGCUAAUACCGCAUGUGGUGGUGCGUUCAUUCGUACCAGUAAAGCCGCAAGGCGCUUCGGGAGGGGCCUGCGUCCGAUUAGCUCGUUGGUGGGGUAACGGCUCACCAAGGCGACGAUCGGUAGGUGGUCUGAGAGGACGAUCACCCAGACUGGGACUGAGACACGGCCCAGACUCCUACGGGAGGCAGCAGUCGGGAAUUUUGCGCAAUGGACGAAAGUCUGACGCAGCGACGCCGCGUGAGGGAUGACGGCCUCGG
RNAcentral lists this ribosomal RNA (391 nucleotides) under uncultured bacterium. RNAcentral describes it as "bacterial SSU rRNA". It matches the Rfam family "Bacterial small subunit ribosomal RNA", at positions 28 to 420 of the family's 1533-position model. The record is from RNAcentral.